RNAcentral lists this unclassified non-coding RNA (345 nucleotides) under soil metagenome. RNAcentral describes it as "partial contains 5.8S ribosomal RNA, internal transcribed spacer 2, and large subunit ribosomal RNA". The stretch from base 1 to 120 matches the Rfam family "5.8S ribosomal RNA", at positions 35 to 154 of the family's 154-position model. The record is from RNAcentral.
GAUGAAGAACGCAGCGGAAUGCGAUACGUAAUGUGAAUUGCAGAAUUCAGUGAAUCAUCGAGUCUUUGAACGCACAUUGCGCCCCCUGGUAAUCCGGGGGGCAUGCCUGUCCGAGCGUCAUUGCUGCCCUCAAGCACGGCUUGUGUGUUGGGCCUCCGUCCUCCUCCCGGGGGACGGGCCCGAAAGGCGGCGGCGGCACCGCGUCCGGUCCUCGAGCGUAUGGGGCUUCGUCACCCGCUCUUGUAGGCCCGGCCGGCGCUUGCCGACACAUCAAUCUUUUUUCCAGGUUGACCUCGGAUCAGGUAGGGAUACCCGCUGAACUUAAGCAUAUCAAUAAGCGGAGGA